Molecule: ribosomal RNA, 497 nt
Filed under: Arabidopsis thaliana (thale cress)
Lineage: Eukaryota; Viridiplantae; Streptophyta; Magnoliopsida; Brassicales; Brassicaceae
Source: RNAcentral
GCCAAAGUUGGCAUGUGAUACCUUUUCGGAAAGCCCAAAGACAGCCCUCCGACGAAAGAAGCAGGACAAUGGAAUUUCUCCAUUGACGUUUUGUCGACCCCAAAUUUUGACCUUUAAGUACUUUUUCGGGCAUUUUCGUGAUUUGGGCUAUAUUACGGACCCAAAAUUACUUGUUCAAGCAUUGUUUUCGAAUUUUUUCAUGCAUCAAAGCUCGUUAAGACUAGAUGGGGUAUCCCUACAUAGCGGGUGGAACCACGGCGAAUGGUUCAUCAAGUCUUCAAAAAAGAAUAUAUACGAUUGCAUUGCAUAUACUAACGGAUGCGAUCAUACCAGCACUAAUGCACCGGAUCCCAUCAGAACUCCGCAGUUAAGCGUGCUUGGGCGAAAGUAGUACUAGGAUGGGUGACCUCCCGGGAAGUCCUCGUGUUGCAUCCCUCUUUUAUGUUUAACCUUUUUUUUUUUGGUUAAAACUUUAUGACUCCAUAACUUCUAGACAG